This 74-nucleotide transfer RNA is filed under the name Bradyrhizobium lablabi. Its description in RNAcentral is "tRNA-Gln". It matches the Rfam family "tRNA". From Rfam's summary of the family: Transfer RNA (tRNA) molecules are approximately 80 nucleotides in length. The record is from RNAcentral. Lineage: Bacteria; Pseudomonadati; Pseudomonadota; Alphaproteobacteria; Hyphomicrobiales; Nitrobacteraceae.
CGCGCGCUGGCCGAUCGGCUAGGCAGUGGAUUCUGAAUCCGCUCAGACAGGUUCGACUCCUGUGCGCGCUGCCA